GACGAACGCUGGCGGCGUGCUUAACACAUGCAAGUCGAACGAGAGCGUAGAGAAAGCUUGCUUUUUCUACAAUCUAGUGGCAAACGGGUGAGUAACGCGUAAACAACCUGCCCUACGGAUGGGGACAACAGCUGGAAACGGCUGCUAAUACCGAAUACGUUCCGAAAGUCGCAUGACUAUCGGAAGAAAGGAUGGCCUCUAUUUAUAAGCUAUCGCCGGAGGAGGGGUUUGCGUCUGAUUAGCUAGUUGGAGGGGUAACGGCCCACCAAGGCGACGAUCAGUAGCCGGUCUGAGAGGAUGAACGGCCACAUUGGAACUGAGACACGGUCCAGACUCCUACGGGAGGCAGCAGUGGGGAAUCUUCCGCAAGGGGCGAAAGCCUGACGGAGCAACGCCGCGUGAGUGAAGACGGCCUUCGGGUUGUAAAGCUCUGUUAUACGGGACGAAUAAUCUUGUGGUUAAUACCCAUGAGAAGUGACGGUACCGGAAGAGAAAGCCACGGCUAACUACGUG
RNAcentral lists this ribosomal RNA (513 nucleotides) under uncultured bacterium. RNAcentral describes it as "partial 16S ribosomal RNA". It matches the Rfam family "Bacterial small subunit ribosomal RNA", at positions 28 to 507 of the family's 1533-position model. The record is from RNAcentral.